Molecule: ribosomal RNA, 253 nt
Filed under: uncultured bacterium
Lineage: Bacteria
Description: partial 16S ribosomal RNA
Rfam family: Bacterial small subunit ribosomal RNA
Source: RNAcentral
UACGGAGGGUGCAAGCGUUAUCCGGAUUUACUGGGUUUAAAGGGUGCGUAGGCGGGUUGAUAAGUCAGUGGUGAAACCUCCGAGCUUAACUCGGAAACUGCCAUUGAUACUAUCAGUCUUGAAUUCAGUUGAGGUGGGCGGAAUGUGUCGUGUAGCGGUGAAAUGCUUAGAUAUGACACAGAACACCAAUUGCGAAGGCAGCUCGCUAAACUGACAUUGACGCUGAGGCAUGAAAGCGUGGGGAGCAAACAGG